UAUAAUGUUUUGACUCUUCGUCUUAUUUGAAAUUUUUGCGAUUAAUACUUUUAUUGUUACUUGAUGAUAAAAUAUGAAUAGUACUUUAUGCGUGACUAAUUUUUUAAUUUUUGCACAAAAUUUUCAAAUAAAAUAAAUGGUUAAACGUUGGACAUGGAAAAACA
RNAcentral lists this microRNA precursor (164 nucleotides) under Oryza brachyantha (malo sina). Its description in RNAcentral is "MIR812 microRNA precursor family". It matches the Rfam family "MIR812 microRNA precursor family", at positions 27 to 191 of the family's 205-position model. The record is from Rfam by way of RNAcentral. Lineage: Eukaryota; Viridiplantae; Streptophyta; Magnoliopsida; Poales; Poaceae.